This 231-nucleotide ribosomal RNA is filed under the name Triticum aestivum (bread wheat). RNAcentral describes it as "partial small subunit ribosomal RNA". Lineage: Eukaryota; Viridiplantae; Streptophyta; Magnoliopsida; Poales; Poaceae. The record is from RNAcentral.
AUGGAUCGGUCCAUGAAGGUCUUUGUGGUCGUCUUCAUGCUCCUUGUGGCCACAGGCUUCCAGGGAGUAGUGCAGGUAGCUUUGGCGAGGGAGUGUACGUCACCGAGCCACAAGUUUAAGGGGUUGUGCGUGAGCGACACCAACUGUGCAAGUGUUUGCCUGACCGAGCGUUUCCCCGGUGGCAAGUGUGACGGCAUUCGGCAGCGUUGUUUAUGCACCGAGAAAUGCUAG